Long non-coding RNA from Papaver somniferum (opium poppy), 1986 nucleotides. RefSeq lists it as uncharacterized. The record is from RefSeq and is a predicted model, not a curated record. NCBI's taxonomy places the organism in Eukaryota, Viridiplantae, Streptophyta, Magnoliopsida, Ranunculales, Papaveraceae. The transcript is spliced from 5 exons.
GACCUUCAGGUUUUUACGUGCCCAAUAUUUAAACAAGACAGAUUCUCGAAACCCUCCCAUUUCAAUUCUCUUUAUCUAUCUCUCUCCCGUAGAAACUUAGUUUCUCUAACUCUCUCUCUCUCUCGAACGAGAAAAAUUCUCUGGGAAAACCACAAUCCGAGGUUUUGAAAGAUUCUUAUCGUCAAUUUCAUUUGGAUUCAGGAGUAUAUUGUGGUUGUUGUCAUGGAAAGCAUCAGCAUCAAAACAUGGAUGAUUUGGAGGCGUUUCUCGGCCAAAAGAGUAGUGAAUUUGUGUCCUGGUUUAUCUCUUUUAUCAUGUGCUUUGAUAUCUGCUUCAGUUGAUGCUUAACUGCAUAUUCGUCUAAAAAUUGGAUGCUUACUCCCAAUAUUUGCAUAUAUAGGAUGCGUUUUGUGGCUAAGCAUGAUAUGAGGAGAUGAUAGUUCAUUGGCUCAUAUUAGGAGGUUAAAGCUAUCACCAUAUUCCAAGGUAUGCUGGUACUGGCUAGGAAUGGUGAAGGAUCAGUAGGUACUCUCGCAAAUCUUGUAUUUUCUGGUAUUGGGGCAAGUCUAUAUGCCUCUGCCUCGUGACAUUGUCACAUUUGCUGUAACAUAUUUAUCAUUCAAUCUGUUCUAUGAUUAUGUGGUUACAUUACAUAUGAUCAUAGGUAGGCAUCAGUAAGAGUGACUCAACUUCGACAAAUGAUCAUAGUUGUUGGCAAAGAUCAGAAGACAUGAAUUAUCCCCUUCCGUCGAAAUGAUCAUUGAUACUUUGUUUUCUACAGAACGGUGUAAAAAUAAGGUCAUCUUGAUGUCUGCAAAGUAGAAUGGAAAGAAAAUGGUGCAGGGGGGAGCUUUAAAAGCUCUAGCACCAGUAGCUGAUUAGUCACUAGUACCUUGUGGCAUCUGCCUGACAUUUUAUAUGCAUCUGUGUAUCUUACCUUUGAAGAUGAAGGAGGUGCUCAAAGCAAGGGGAUCGGGAUAAAGCUUAUGGAUAGUCUCUAUCAAACUGGAUAAAGCUCGAGUUUCUUCCUUAUGUCUUUUGAUUGUAGGGGCUGUCUUCUAAUUAGACAGUCUUUAUAUCUUUGGUGACACAAAGAACUUUGUUUCUGUUGGUGGCAGCAUUACCGAAGUUCGAAGGUUCCAUUCUAGUUUCCAUACCGCACAGAGUGGUUUAACCUUGACCAAGGUAAACCAUUGCUCCUGUGCUUUAAUUUUUGUUAUGCUUCUUGUUUUUCUUCUCUUCCCUCUUUUUAUGGUUAAUAUGGUAUAUUCUUAUUUUUACAUAUAUUUGAUUUGUCUGCAUAGCUUAGGGUAAGAAUUUUAUGCUAGCUAUUGAACAAGUACUAGGUUAUUAGUUCUGGAUGUUGGCCCUUGAUUUCAAGGUACAGGGCAUGUUUAUGUACUCAAUCCCUUGGAGAGGACAUGACCCUAACAUGGAAAUUGUUCCAAGUAAGUUAGUCAUUUUCGUUCGGAUAGAUAAUACUUGUUUCUUGGUUGCUAGAAAGGCCAAUUCUGCUUAGGGUACUUGCCUGUCUUUCUCUGUCUCAGCUCAUCAAUACGUCCAGCAUUAGAGGUUUGUGUAUGUCCCUAUUGUCUAUAUCUAUUUUAUUCUGAAUGGGGUCACUUGUACAAACUUGUUUUCGUGGUAACCAGGAUUAUUAUUCAGCUUGCAGGGUUGUGAAAGCUUGCUGCAGAAGAAGGCAUACAAAAUACUUGUCUCGAGGUUGUCAUGGAUUGUGCAAGUCUCUGGCUUUGCAGCUUUAACAUCAUUCUCCAGUGUUAGUGGUUGACACUAUUUGCUUGAUCUUACUUGUAGUGCUUCAGGGAAUAGUCUAAAUGAGCUUGUUCUGAUAUUAAGGAUCUGUGUUUUGGUACCCUUGAUUUGAGUUAAACAAGUAGAUUCUGCAGAAAUGUGUAUUUUUUUCUGUUUUCUUGUUCAGGAAUGAAUUUGGUUCAGACGACAAUGGAAUAUAUAGUUUUUCUAUUA